CGUGAACAAGAGGACAGUGGAAUCAAUUUUCUCCACUUUGCUUGGGACAACAGUAGGGGAAAGUGUAAAAGGUGACUUGAAAAAUCACAGUAGGAAAACUCGCUUCUGUAAGCAGGAAGGCUCAGGAUGGUGAGUGAUCUUCAAAGGCAAGGACUGGGAAAAUGAACAGAUAUCAAGAUCCCAGAAGUAGCUGAUGCAAAAAUCACAUCUCCCAACCAAAGAAGACAAGAGAGCUUCUGCUCAGGAGUCACCAGACAAGUCAUUGGAAUCUGUACAGCACUGGAUUCUCUUGAGCACCUAUAAAUUUUCGUAACAUCAGCUCCAAUAAGAUAUUCUAGUCUCUGAAGCAGAAAGAUUACCAAAUCACAGCUAACCUGGGCAAC
RNAcentral lists this long non-coding RNA (383 nucleotides) under Cricetulus griseus (Chinese hamster). Its description in RNAcentral is "lncRNA (ENSCGRG00015000966.2)". The record is from RNAcentral. Lineage: Eukaryota; Metazoa; Chordata; Mammalia; Rodentia; Cricetidae.